Molecule: long non-coding RNA, 527 nt
Organism: Heterocephalus glaber (naked mole-rat)
Lineage: Eukaryota; Metazoa; Chordata; Mammalia; Rodentia; Bathyergidae
Source: RefSeq, a predicted model, not a curated record
AGCAAGACAAAACAGCCGUUACUGAACAAUACACUUGGAAGAGAUCUUUAAACGGCCACUACUCCUGACACUGACUUCUCCUGUUUUAGUUCCUUCAGAUGAGUAACAUCUGCCUCUACUUUUGUUGCACAUUUAAAUACUAAACAGAAGAGGGAAAGAUGUAUAAAGAAGUACUUAAAAUAACUGCUUCUAAUAGCCUUUAAUACAGACAUUUUGGGCUUUUGAACUUCUGAGGUCAACAAGGACAAACAAUACCACUAGUGUCUCUUUGCAAAAAAGCUGGGUUUGCUGUCUGCAAGCAAUGUACAGAGGGAUCUAUAAGCAAGACGCAUCGAAUGAGCUGGGACACUGAUUAAAUACCAUUCUUGAAAGCAGCAGAACAAACUAACAGGAAGAAAUGCCCAGUGCUAUCAAAACUGUUACACUGUAACAAUAAAAUCUAAACCAAAUCAGUGGCAUUUACUAAAUUGCAGCCACCAUUUCAAACAGACAAAACCUGAAAUACAUAUUUUAACAAAACAGAAACA